UACGGGGGGGGCAAGCGUUGUUCGGAAUUACUGGGCGUAAAGGGCUCGUAGGCGGCCAACUAAGUCGGAUGUGAAAUCCCCAGGCUUAACUUGGGAACUGCAUCCGAUACUGGAUGGCUUGAAUCCGGGAGAGGGAUGCGGAAUUCCAGGUGUAGCGGUGAAAUGCGUAGAUAUCUGGAGGAACACCGGUGGCGAAGGCGGCAUCCUGGACCGGCAUUGA
Molecule: ribosomal RNA, 220 nt
Filed under: uncultured bacterium
Lineage: Bacteria
Description: partial 16S ribosomal RNA
Rfam family: Bacterial small subunit ribosomal RNA
Source: RNAcentral